Molecule: ribosomal RNA, 1307 nt
Filed under: Escherichia coli
Lineage: Bacteria; Pseudomonadati; Pseudomonadota; Gammaproteobacteria; Enterobacterales; Enterobacteriaceae
Description: bacterial SSU rRNA
Rfam family: Bacterial small subunit ribosomal RNA
Source: RNAcentral
UGCUUUGCUGACGAGUGGCGGACGGGUGAGUAAUGUCUGGGAAACUGCCUGAUGGAGGGGGAUAACUACUGGAAACGGUAGCUAAUACCGCAUAACGUCGCAAGACCAAAGAGGGGGACCUUCGGGCCUCUUGCCAUCGGAUGUGCCCAGAUGGGAUUAGCUAGUAGGUGGGGUAACGGCUCACCUAGGCGACGAUCCCUAGCUGGUCUGAGAGGAUGACCAGCCACACUGGAACUGAGACACGGUCCAGACUCCUACGGGAGGCAGCAGUGGGGAAUAUUGCACAAUGGGCGCAAGCCUGAUGCAGCCAUGCCGCGUGUAUGAAGAAGGCCUUCGGGUUGUAAAGUACUUUCAGCGGGGAGGAAGGGAGUAAAGUUAAUACCUUUGCUCAUUGACGUUACCCGCAGAAGAAGCACCGGCUAACUCCGUGCCAGCAGCCGCGGUAAUACGGAGGGUGCAAGCGUUAAUCGGAAUUACUGGGCGUAAAGCGCACGCAGGCGGUUUGUUAAGUCAGAUGUGAAAUCCCCGGGCUCAACCUGGGAACUGCAUCUGAUACUGGCAAGCUUGAGUCUCGUAGAGGGGGGUAGAAUUCCAGGUGUAGCGGUGAAAUGCGUAGAGAUCUGGAGGAAUACCGGUGGCGAAGGCGGCCCCCUGGACGAAGACUGACGCUCAGGUGCGAAAGCGUGGGGGAGCAAACAGGAUUAGAUACCCUGGUAGUCCACGCCGUAAACGAUGUCGACUUGGAGGUUGUGCCCUUGAGGCGUGGCUUCCGGAGCUAACGCGUUAAGUCGACCGCCUGGGGAGUACGGCCGCAAGGUUAAAACUCAAAUGAAUUGACGGGGGCCCGCACAAGCGGUGGAGCAUGUGGUUUAAUUCGAUGCAACGCGAAGAACCUUACCUGGUCUUGACAUCCACAGAACUUUCCAGAGAUGGAUUGGUGCCUUCGGGAACUGUGAGACAGGUGCUGCAUGGCUGUCGUCAGCUCGUGUUGUGAAAUGUUGGGUUAAGUCCCGCAACGAGCGCAACCCUUAUCCUUUGUUGCCAGCGGUCCGGCCGGGAACUCAAAGGAGACUGCCAGUGAUAAACUGGAGGAAGGUGGGGAUGACGUCAAGUCAUCAUGGCCCUUACGACCAGGGCUACACACGUGCUACAAUGGCGCAUACAAAGAGAAGCGACCUCGCGAGAGCAAGCGGACCUCAUAAAGUGCGUCGUAGUCCGGAUUGGAGUCUGCAACUCGACUCCAUGAAGUCGGAAUCGCUAGUAAUCGUGGAUCAGAAUGCCACGGUGAAUACGUUCCCGGGCCUUGU